This is a long non-coding RNA of Oxyura jamaicensis (ruddy duck), 546 nucleotides long. RefSeq lists it as uncharacterized. The transcript is spliced from 3 exons. Lineage: Eukaryota; Metazoa; Chordata; Aves; Anseriformes; Anatidae. The record is from RefSeq and is a predicted model, not a curated record.
CAGCUCAGAAUGCAGCCAUUCCCCACCCCAGCUCCAGUUCCUGCAGAUAUUCACAGCCAGGUUUUAUUCACAAGCAUUUACUUGUUCUGUUACUACAAAAAGAAUAACAAUUAUUUCUGCAAAUGUUUUGUAUUUAUAGCGUCAUGUGAAUAAAUUAAAUAAUUGAUUCCAGGAAUCAAAUUGUGAUAGUACUACUGACAAAAAUGCAAACGUUGUCAUUAUUGUAUAAAUUAAGCAUAUUCCAUUAAUACUCUCAAAUAUUAUGUUUUUUGUAGACCCAAGGAACAAUAUUCACAACCUGGUAGCAGCUAUGGUUUGACAUACUGUUAUAUCUGAAUGCUGAACCAUAUUCUUGAUCUCAUGGGAAGUACUUUUGAAGAAGCUCAUCCUUCUGAAACAAAUGAAUGCCAGAGUGCCUAGUUCUUGCUGGGCACUUAGUAUCAUCUUACAGACUGGGCUCCUUUCAACUGCCUUUUUACUUGACAAAAGAUACUAUGACUUAAAGAGAUGUCAUAUAUUUAGCAUACAUUAAAAAAUCAAUAUUUU